GGAAACCAAGGAAGGUUUCAGGACAAAGGCAUGGACAGGAGAAAGCAUAUUCUUUGGGGGAAAAUAAGGAUGUUUGUAUAGCAAACAGCAUUGGAAGACAGAGAUUAUGUCUCCUUCUGAAGUGCUGGACAGCCACACUUAAACACAGUAUAAAAGAUUUGGGCUCCCUAAGCCCAGGGUUACUCUCCUGUAAUGAAAUCGAUUGUGUAUCCCCACAUCCAUCUGGGCCCAUCCAUGUCCCUGCUGUGAGAACUGGGGCAGAGGGGACUGAUGCAAACAUGCUGGUGCUCGUGCUGCUUGCUGUGCUGGAUCCAACUGGAUCUGUCUACAUCAACCGUGUGGGAUUCGGAGGCAAGGGGAGCCAACAUAAAUAUGAUGAUGCUCAUGCUGCUUACCGUGUGGUAAGUAAUAAACUCCUUUUUCUCUGAUCCAAGAGAUUUGUGUCUUAUACCCACAUCCAUUAAAAGAUAGCAGACUAACUUGUUAACUCACAUGCAGGAUAAAAUCCCAAACCCUCCACAUUUUUUGACAAUCCCCCUCUCCCUCCACCAACUCAACUCUUUGAAGGCAUGAAACAAGUUUCUGUUUGAUACAUAUAGACUGAACUUC
Molecule: long non-coding RNA, 609 nt
Filed under: Equus asinus (donkey)
Lineage: Eukaryota; Metazoa; Chordata; Mammalia; Perissodactyla; Equidae
Description: lncRNA (ENSEASG00005027779.1)
Source: RNAcentral